This 423-nucleotide ribosomal RNA is filed under the name uncultured bacterium. Its description in RNAcentral is "partial 16S ribosomal RNA". It matches the Rfam family "Bacterial small subunit ribosomal RNA", at positions 360 to 774 of the family's 1533-position model. The record is from RNAcentral.
AAUAUUGCGCAAUGGCCGAAAGGCUGACGCAGCGACGCCGCGUGCGGGAGGAAGCCCCNCGGGGUNUNAACCGCUGUCAGGGGGGNCGAACCGCCGGGGUGGGAAUACUGCCCCGGUCUGACGGCACCCCCCGCGGAAGCACCGGCUAACUCCGUGCCAGCAGCCGCGGUAAGACGGAGGGUGCGAGCGUUGGUCGGAAUUAAUGGGCGUAAAGCGCGCGCAGGCGGAUGUGCAAGUAGAAGGUGAAAUCCCGGGGCUCAACACCGUGACCGCUCUCGAUACUGCAUGUCUAGGGACCGGUAGAGGUCGGUGGAAUUCCCGGAGUAGCGGUGGAAUGCGUAGAUAUCGGGAGGAACACAUGUGGCGAAGGCGGCCGACUGGGCCGGAUCCGACGCUGAGGCGCGAAAGCGUGGGGAGCAAACA